RNAcentral lists this long non-coding RNA (366 nucleotides) under Ricinus communis (castor bean). RNAcentral's name for it is "long non-coding RNA (RCOM_LNC000453)". Lineage: Eukaryota; Viridiplantae; Streptophyta; Magnoliopsida; Malpighiales; Euphorbiaceae. The record is from RNAcentral.
AUAGGGGUAUAAUAAUUUGGAUUAUGCAUCAUAGUUAUGUCCUUUGAAGAUGAGUUAGAUUAUUUGUUGUGAAACAGCUAUGAAAGAUUGGAUGCUUGAGUCUUUUGAUUAACAAUGAUUGAGUUUAUAUUUUUAAGAGAAAAUUAUCAUGAUUCAAGUGUUCUUGGGUUGACAUGAUCGUUGCAUUAGUGAGAUUCUUUUGAAUAAUAUCUUUAAGCUGAGUAUAGAUUUUUUUAAUGAUUUUGCAAAAGUUAAUUCUCAGUUGCUAUUUACUUGAGGACAAGUAAAAGUUUAAGUGUGGGGGUAUUUGAUUGGUCCAAAUUAUGUAUAGAUAUUUAAGAGUAUUUUAAAGCUUUAAUGAUAUAU